CACGUAGGGUGCGAGCGUUGUCCGGAAUUAUUGGGCGUAAAGAGCUCGUAGGCGGUGUGUCGCGUCGGCCGUGAAAACCUGCAGCUUAACUGUGGGCUUGCGGUCGAUACGGGCAUCACUGGAGUUCGGCAGGGGAGACUGGAAUUCCUGGUGUAGCGGUGAAAUGCGCAGAUAUCAGGAAGAACACCAAUGGCGAAGGCAGCUCUCUGGGACGGUACUGACGCUGAGGCGCGAAAGCGUGGGGAGCGAACAGG
RNAcentral lists this ribosomal RNA (254 nucleotides) under uncultured bacterium. Its description in RNAcentral is "partial 16S ribosomal RNA". It matches the Rfam family "Bacterial small subunit ribosomal RNA", at positions 524 to 776 of the family's 1533-position model. The record is from RNAcentral.